GCCCUUCACUACGGAAUAGCCUCGGGAAACUGAGAGUAAUACCGUAUACGCCCUUCGGGGAAAGAUUUAUCGGUGAAGGAUUAGCCCGCGUCUGAUUAGAUAGUUGGUGGGGUAACGGCCUACCAAGUCGACGAUCAGUAGCUGGUUUGAGAGGAUGAUCAGCAACACUGGGACUGAGACACGGCCCAGACUCCUACGGGAGGCAGCAGUGGGGAAUCUUAGACAAUGGGCGCAAGUGUAUCUAGCCAUGCCGCGUGAGUGACGAAGGCCUUAGGGUCGUAAAGCUCUUUCGCCAGGGAUGAUAAUGACAGUACCUGGUAAAGAAACCCCGGCUAACUCCGUGCCAGCAGCCGCGGUAAUACGGAGGGGGUUAGCGUUGUUCGGAAUUACUGGGCGUAAAGCGCGCGUAGGGGAUUGGAAAGUUGGGGGUGAAAUCCCGGGGCUCAACCCCGAACUGCCUCCAAAACUAUCAGUCUAGAGUUCGAGAGAGGUGAGUGGAAUUCCAAGUGUAGAGGUGAAAUUCGUAGAUAUUUGGAGGAACACCAGUGGCGAAGGGGCUCACUGGCUCGAUACUGACGCUGAGGUGCGAAAGUGUGGGGAGCAAACAGGAUUAGAUACCCUGGUAGUCCACACCGUAAACGAUGAAUGCCAGACGUCGGGGGGCUUGCCUUCGGUGUCACACCUAACGGAUUAAGCAUUCCGCCUGGGGAGUACGGUCGCAAGAUUAAAACUCAAAGGAAUUGACGGG
RNAcentral lists this ribosomal RNA (748 nucleotides) under uncultured bacterium. RNAcentral's name for it is "bacterial SSU rRNA". It matches the Rfam family "Bacterial small subunit ribosomal RNA", at positions 128 to 917 of the family's 1533-position model. The record is from RNAcentral.